CCUCCUCCUCGCCGCCGCCAUUCCAAAUCCUCUCGGGAUCCUGGCCAAAUCCACUUAGUUUUUUCCCCAUCCACCCAAAUGGCAGCCUCCACCUCCCCUCCCGAUUCACCUCCAUCGAUCCCAACACCACCAAGCCACCCCGACGGACCUCGCUGGAGCUCCUUCCUUUUCCCCCUCUGCCCGAGCGCGCCCGUCCUCGCAGCCCCGCCGUGCCAGCUUCAACGCCCGCCUCCUCGACUACCUCGCGACGGCGACCUCGACAAGCUGCCGCCACCGGUGACCGAACCAGCAGCAACAUCGUCUCUCCUCCUCCGCUACCCCGAGCGUCCCUCUUGAGGCCCUGCUUCCUUGCGCUCCGUCGUCACCCCGCUCGUCCAAGCCUCCUAUGUUCUCCGUUAUGGAUGCUGUCAUCCGAGCUCCUCAAGCCGACACCGUCCAGGGUCCCAACGACCUCGCCGUCCUGGCCUCCUCUGCCGUGCUGGUGAGCGCGACGCUGGAGCAUCGCAGGUUGCCGUGCCUCUGCCCAUCCUUCUCCUCCUCUCAUUCCCUCGCGUCUGUCUCUCCCUCUAAUUUCUCUCUUAUGCCCAGGGAGGCACCACCCGUGUCGCCGGAUUUCGCUGCCUUAGCCUCGGAUCCGUCCAUCUUCUCCGUUCCUCGCCUCUCCGCCUCCUGCCGUCCCUGUUGCCAUUGGACUGCGCCGCUGCAGGAGGUCGCCCCGUCAUGGCCUUGCCUCCGGCCAGAACCACCUGCCCUCGAUGCCUCUUGCUUGGAUCCAGCCGUCCCCGAAGCCAAGUGCCGCCGAUGACCUCCAUCUCCCUGCAUCGCACCUAGGCCCGCGCCACCUCCUUGUUUCGCUCUUGCACGAGCAAGACGACGGGCGCCUGAUCGAUCCGGAUGCACCGGUUGACCGCGAGGUCGACUGGGCCACGACCAUGUCGUGGCUGCAAGGCCCAGCGCCCUCCUCUACUUUGCCAUCGCCGUGGGCCGCCAGAUUCGCCGGCCUGUUCCACUGACUGGGCCUUGGCCCAUGGUGACGCAACCGAGCUCAAGGAGGAGCUCGAUGAAGAACGUGUUCGUUGUGAUGUUCCGUUUCAGUUGAUCAGCAGAGGAGCCCAGUUGGGGCGAUCGGGGAUCUAGCAUGAGGGGUUGUCUUCUUUUAUUUUGGUUCUAUAGUCGGACCUUGAUUGUAUUCUGGAUGAUGUAAUGCUAUAUUUAUGUAUUGU
This is a long non-coding RNA of Triticum dicoccoides, 1223 nucleotides long. RefSeq lists it as uncharacterized. NCBI's taxonomy places the organism in Eukaryota, Viridiplantae, Streptophyta, Magnoliopsida, Poales, Poaceae. The transcript is spliced from 3 exons. The record is from RefSeq and is a predicted model, not a curated record.